CGUGUAGCCGGGUCGGCAAGUCAGAUGUGAAAUCUGGAGGCUCAACCUCCAAACUGCAUUUGAAACUGCUGAUCUUGAGUAUCGGAGAGGUAAUCGGAAUUCCUUGUGUAGCGGUGAAAUGCGUAGAUAUAAGGAAGAACACCAGUGGCGAAGGCGGAUUACUGGACGACAACUGACGGUGAGGCGCGAAAGCGUGGGGAGCAAACA
Molecule: ribosomal RNA, 207 nt
Filed under: uncultured Oscillibacter sp.
Lineage: Bacteria; Bacillati; Bacillota; Clostridia; Eubacteriales; Oscillospiraceae
Description: partial 16S ribosomal RNA
Rfam family: Bacterial small subunit ribosomal RNA
Source: RNAcentral